Drosophila innubila is the source of this 266-nucleotide long non-coding RNA. RefSeq lists it as uncharacterized. The transcript is spliced from 3 exons. The record is from RefSeq and is a predicted model, not a curated record. Lineage: Eukaryota; Metazoa; Arthropoda; Insecta; Diptera; Drosophilidae.
CGCAGCAGGAUGGGAAUUGAGUGAAAGUUGUGUUUUUGUUGCAAACACCAACACAGUCAAGUGCAAGGCGCCAAAAACUUUCACCCCUCCCCCGCGUCCAGAGCAGCGGGUUAUUCCUUGUAGCAGCUCAGCGGGCCGUUUGCGGGAUAGGCCACCACGCACGGCCCUCCAAACGGAUUAAAAAUCUCAAUCAGGGAGCAGCGAAGGACAAUCACAACCUCACUUGGCACUUAUGCCGAACACCACCUAACCAACUCCACCAAUCC